GGGACUCAGAGGGACUAAUGUCACCAAAAAUACAGCAAGUUCUGAGCCCUGAACAAUAGUGCAGGCUCCCUAUAUAGGCACAUAACUCCUCCCAUUAAUAGCUACACCCACAUAUACCUUUAACCAAUCAAUGAGCAGAAUAUAUACUUGUACAUCUAGUCAAACCACAUGGCCCAUCCAAGACAAAGGAAAUAAGUGCAAUUUCAGUUCCUGCAUUCCUGCACAUGCUCAGUACACUGAUGACCGUAUCCUAGCUACAUGUAGCUAACCAACUGACACAACAUACACAUAUGCCACAUGGAGAUUUUGGCCUACUAAAUUUUAACCAUGCUGGAAUCCCAU
RNAcentral lists this long non-coding RNA (342 nucleotides) under Pelobates cultripes (western spadefoot toad). The record is from RNAcentral. Lineage: Eukaryota; Metazoa; Chordata; Amphibia; Anura; Pelobatidae.